Molecule: transfer RNA, 62 nt
Filed under: Patescibacteria group bacterium
Lineage: Bacteria
Description: tRNA-Val
Rfam family: tRNA
About the family: Transfer RNA (tRNA) molecules are approximately 80 nucleotides in length. Their secondary structure includes four short double-helical elements and three loops (D, anti-codon, and T loops).
Source: RNAcentral
AGCUCAGUUGGUAGAGCGUCUAGCUGACAGCUAGGAGGACAUGGGUUCGAAUCCUAUCAUCG